CGCCUCGGCUCGGGCGGAGAGCCCAGCGUGGCUGGGGCUGCGCGAGUCGAGCGGGGCGGGCUUGGUCCGGAGCUGCGGGAUGGAGAUCCCGGGCGGCACCGCACUCACUUCUUUUUCUGUUUUUGACAGCUCAGUUCUCUUCUACUUUGGGAGAGAGAGAAAGUCAGAUGCCCCUUUUAAACUCCCUCUUCAAAACUCAUCUCCUGGGUGACUGACUACUUAGAAGAUGAACUGUUCUCAUCAGCAACAUGCUAUUGUGUCAUCUUUUAGGACUAGGUAAUGCUCCAGUGACUUAAUACCAAUGACAUUUUCAUGUUGUCCACAAAUUCUGAGUAGAAACAUUUUCAAGCCUGUAGCCUCUCUGAGAGCUGACUGUUAUUAACUGAAUGAGAGGAUGUCAGCAAACAGAGUUAAUAGAGUGGAUACAACCUUGCUGAAGAUGAAGAAUAUACAAUAUUGAGGAUUUUUUUUCUUUUUUUUUUCAAGUCUUGAUUUGUGGCUUACCUCAAGUUACCACUUUUCAGUCAAGUCUGUUUGUUUGCUUCUUCAGAAAUGUUUUUUACAAUCUCAAGAAAAAAUAUGUCCCAGAAAUUGAGUUUACUGUUGCUUGUAUUUGGACUCAUUUGGGGAUUGAUGUUACUGCACUAUACUUUUCAACAACCAAGACAUCAAAGCAGUGUCAAGUUACGUGAGCAAAUACUAGACUUAAGCAAAAGAUAUGUUAAAGCUCUAGCAGAGGAAAAUAAGAACACAGUGGAUGUCGAGAACGGUGCUUCUAUGGCAGGAUAUGCGGAUC
Molecule: small RNA, 796 nt
Filed under: Pan troglodytes (chimpanzee)
Lineage: Eukaryota; Metazoa; Chordata; Mammalia; Primates; Hominidae
Description: retained intron
Source: RNAcentral